GUAACUGCAGAGACUGGAGUUGGUUGUCGCUGGCCCUUUACCGGGGCAUGUGCACGCCUUUCUCUAUUCAUCCACACACACACCUGUGAACUUGUGAGACGGAUAGUAGUCCUCCAGGGGACGAGGUCCGUCUGUCAAUACAUAAACUCCAGUUAAUAAAAUUGAAUGUCAUUUGAUGUAACACAUCAAUAAACUAAGUUUCAA
RNAcentral lists this ribosomal RNA (204 nucleotides) under uncultured Ascomycota. RNAcentral describes it as "partial 18S ribosomal RNA". Lineage: Eukaryota; Fungi; Ascomycota. The record is from RNAcentral.